Molecule: transfer RNA, 59 nt
Filed under: Flavobacteriaceae bacterium
Lineage: Bacteria; Pseudomonadati; Bacteroidota; Flavobacteriia; Flavobacteriales; Flavobacteriaceae
Description: tRNA-His
Rfam family: tRNA
About the family: Transfer RNA (tRNA) molecules are approximately 80 nucleotides in length. Their secondary structure includes four short double-helical elements and three loops (D, anti-codon, and T loops).
Source: RNAcentral
AGUUGGUUAGAACGCCUGAUUGUGGUUCAGGAGGUCGCCGGUUCGAGUCCGGUCUUCCA